RNAcentral lists this ribosomal RNA (301 nucleotides) under uncultured bacterium. RNAcentral describes it as "partial 16S ribosomal RNA". It matches the Rfam family "Bacterial small subunit ribosomal RNA", at positions 509 to 808 of the family's 1533-position model. The record is from RNAcentral.
CAGCCGCCACGGGAAUACGAAGGGUGCAAGCGUUACUCGGAAUUACUGGGCGUAAAGCGUGCGUAGGUGGUGGUUUAAGUCCGUUGUGAAAGCCCUGGGCUCAACCUGGGAAUUGCAGUGGAUACUGGAUCACUAGAGUGUGGUAGAGGAUAGUGGAAUUUCCGGCGUAGCAGUGAAAUGCGUAGAGAUCGGAAGGAACAUCUGUGGCGAAGGCGACUAUCUGGGCCAACACUGACACUGAGGCACGAAGCGUGGGGAGCAAACAGGAUUAGAGACCCGCGUAGUCCCUGUCUCUUAUACA